GUUGGCUUUAGCUUAACUGGUAAAGUGCCACACUGUGAAUGUGGAGAACAGGGUUCGAGUCCCGGAGUCAACC
This 73-nucleotide transfer RNA is filed under the name Filimonas sp. RNAcentral's name for it is "tRNA-His". It matches the Rfam family "tRNA". From Rfam's summary of the family: Transfer RNA (tRNA) molecules are approximately 80 nucleotides in length. Lineage: Bacteria; Pseudomonadati; Bacteroidota; Chitinophagia; Chitinophagales; Chitinophagaceae. The record is from RNAcentral.